RNAcentral lists this non-coding RNA (19 nucleotides) under Mus musculus (house mouse). Lineage: Eukaryota; Metazoa; Chordata; Mammalia; Rodentia; Muridae. The record is from RNAcentral.
UCCACCAGUUUCAUUUCGA